Molecule: ribosomal RNA, 502 nt
Filed under: uncultured bacterium
Lineage: Bacteria
Description: partial 16S ribosomal RNA
Rfam family: Bacterial small subunit ribosomal RNA
Source: RNAcentral
GACGAACGCUGGCGGCGUGCCUAAUACAUGCAAGUCGAACGAACCGCGACUAGGUGCUUGCACUUGGUCAAGGUGAGUGGCGAACGGGUGAGUAACACGUGGGUAACCUACCUCAUAGUGGGGGAUAACAGUCGGAAACGACUGCUAAUACCGCAUAGGACAUAGGAUCACAUGAUCCAGUGAGGAAAGGUGGCGCAAGCUAUCGCUAAGAGAUGGACCCGCGGUGCAUUAGCUAGUUGGUAGGGUAAAGGCCUACCAAGGCGAUGAUGCAUAGCCGACCUGAGAGGGUGAUCGGCCACAUUGGGACUGAGACACGGCCCACACUCCUACGGGAGGCAGCAGUAGGGAAUCUUCCGCAAUGGACGCAAGUCUGACGGAGCAACGCCGCGUGAGUGAAGAAGGUCUUCGGAUCGUAAAGCUCUGUUGUUAGAGAAGAACAGCGCAUAGAGUAACUGUUAUGCGUGUGACAGUAUCUAACCAGAAAGCCACGGCUAACUACGUG